AGCACACUACAGCUGCAAAACAGGGGCUGGGCAGAGAACUUCAUUUAUACACACGUAUAAUAGAUAUAUAUAUUAUCAAUCUGUCUACCAUUAUAUAUACACACACACACACUACCCUUCCUCACCCUAUCUUUGCUGCACUAAACCCUUCUCUUCAGUACGUCUCUCCCGGUGGCUGGGCAGGUUCUAAGCACAACCUGAAGAGAGCUUACUCUGCUUAGAGAAACCGGAGAUCGAAGUCUCGUUCGUAACCUCAUAGAAGGUCUUUUCAUGGUCAAAAAGAUGCCAAACAAAGUCUGCAAGAAUUGUUUUGGUUACAUAGUGGUUCACAAUGUAGAGAACCCUAGAAUGUGUGUAUGUACUCGGGCCGCAAAGGUUGGAAGCAUUUUCUUGCAACCUCUGUAACAAAUUGUGUGGCAUACAUUCGGCUUUGGUGAAUCAUCAAGCCACAAUAUACAGAAAUGAUCCGGAGUAUACCACAUGUAACGUCAAAUUCAGAAAUGAACCAGAGGUGGUGGAACACCGGGAGUUUCUGUUGUUAUUGUUAUGCUUGACUGUUUUAACUUAGUUUCUAUUGUCUUUUUGUUAUAUAUGACAGUUUUAACUUUUGAUUAUUAACUUAGCUUUUAUUGUUCUGUUGUUCGA
Molecule: long non-coding RNA, 645 nt
Organism: Cornus florida
Lineage: Eukaryota; Viridiplantae; Streptophyta; Magnoliopsida; Cornales; Cornaceae
Exons: 2
Source: RefSeq, a predicted model, not a curated record